Molecule: ribosomal RNA, 197 nt
Filed under: uncultured bacterium
Lineage: Bacteria
Description: partial 16S ribosomal RNA
Rfam family: Bacterial small subunit ribosomal RNA
Source: RNAcentral
ACGCUCGACACCUACGAGAGGCAGCAGUGGGGAAUAUUGCACAAUGGGGGAAACCCUGAUGCAGCGACGCCGCGUGGAGGAAGAAGGUCUUCGGAUUGUAAACUCCUGUUGUUGGGGAAAAAGNGGAUGGUACCCAACAAGGAAGUGACGGCUAACUACGUGCCACAGCCGCGGUAAUCUGAGCGGGCUGGCAAGGC